UUUGGUUUGGGAUAACUUUGUGUUCUGUAGCAAGAAUGGGUUUUAAUGCUAGAUAUAUUUACCUAUAUUUGUUACUAGUAAAUACCCCAAUCUCUACACUAAUCCAUCUUGUUUGUCAGAUGCAGAAAACAUCUUUGACCUUUCCAUCUGGAAUAUGAAGCUCAAGAAAACAUUCAGUUCUUCAGCACAAGAAGGUCGAGGACUGGCAGCUCCAGUCCCUACUCUCAUUUAAUAUCUAUAGAAGAAUACUGUAGACUUCGGAAUAUCAUGCUGAUUAAUGGUGCAGAAUGGCUUGCUGGAGUUAGAAAAGACAACCUAAGGGCCUGUAUUUUAAGAAAUGACAAGGAAUUAGUUCUUCUUACUAAAGCUGACUGUAAGGAUCGUUAAGACACUAUCAAUACCAGCUGGUGGAUAGGACCCUGUGCAAUCAUCUGGCAACUCUUCUCUCUCUCCAGAGCUGGUCUGUAGUGCUGAAGAAGCUGAUGGUUUCGUGGACAUACUGGGAGCCUAAUGUGGUGGAGACAAAAAGACAGAACUGAGCCACUCAGCCAGGCACUGGGAAAAACAACUCAUGUCACACUCAUGAAAUGAAUGCUUUCUUCAUCUAUGCUUUUGGGAAUGCCCGUAAUCCCAGCUGAUCUGAAGAAGGUACUACAUAUACAUGUAGUAAUCCAAUUUUAAUUAAGGAGAUCAAAAUAAACUAAGAAAACACAUUUGCUUUACUUUAGCUAGCAAAUAGGGAUCAGUAUUAUCUGGAUGGGUAGUUAAAGUUGCCAAGAUUAAGAAAUCAUUUAUUCUCCUUCUAUAUACUGACUUAUAUGUAAUAUACAGUGCAAUAAUAGAUUUAUUACUCAAAUGUUAAC
Molecule: long non-coding RNA, 863 nt
Filed under: Meleagris gallopavo (turkey)
Lineage: Eukaryota; Metazoa; Chordata; Aves; Galliformes; Phasianidae
Description: lncRNA (ENSMGAG00000019995.1)
Source: RNAcentral